GAGUUUGAUCAUGGCUCAGAUUGAACGCUGGCGGCAGGCCUAACACAUGCAAGUCGAACGGUAACAGGAAGAAGCUUGCUUCUUUGCUGACGAGUGGCGGACGGGUGAGUAAUGUCUGGGAAACUGCCUGAUGGAGGGGGAUAACUACUGGAAACGGUAGCUAAUACCGCAUAACGUCGCAAGACCAAAGAGGGGGACCUUCGGGCCUCUUGCCAUCGGAUGUGCCCAGAUGGGAUUAGCUAGUAGGUGGGGUAACGGCUCACCUAGGCGACGAUCCCUAGCUGGUCUGAGAGGAUGACCAGCCACACUGGAACUGAGACACGGUCCAGACUCCUACGGGAGGCAGCAGUGGGGAAUAUUGCACAAUGGGCGCAAGCCUGAUGCAGCCAUGCCGCGUGUAUGAAGAAGGCCUUCGGGUUGUAAAGUACUUUCAGCGGGGAGGAAGGGAGUAAAGUUAAUACCUUUGCUCAUUGACGUUACCCGCAGAAGAAGCACCGGCUAACUCCGUGCCAGCAGCCGCGGUAAUACGGAGGGUGCAAGCGUUAAUCGGAAUUACUGGGCGUAAAGCGCACGCAGGCGGUUUGUUAAGUCAGAUGUGAAAUCCCCGGGCUCAACCUGGGAACUGCAUCUGAUACUGGCAAGCUUGGGUCUCGUAGAGGGGGGUAGAAUUCCAGGUGUAGCGGUGAAAUGCGUAGAGAUCUGGAGGAAUACCGGUGGCGAAGGCGGCCCCCUGGACGAAGACUGACGCUCAGGUGCGAAAGCGUGGGGGGCAAACAGGAUUAGAUACCCUGGUAGUCCACGCCGUAAACGAUGUCGACUUGGAGGUUGUGCCCUUGAGGCGUGGCUUCCGGAGCUAACGCGUUAAGUCGACCGCCUGGGGAGUACGGCCGAAAGGUUAAAACUCAAAUGAAUUGACGGGGGCCCGCACAAGCGGUGGAGCAUGUGGUUUAAUUCGAUGCAACGCGAAGAACCUUACCUGGUCUUGACAUCCACGGAAGUUUUCAGAGAUGAGAAUGUGCCUUCGGGAACCGUGAGACAGGUGCUGCAUGGCUGUCGUCAGCUCGUGUUGUGAAAUGUUGGGUUAAGUCCCGCAACGAGCGCAACCCUUAUCCUUUGUUGCCAGCGGUCCGGCCGGGAACUCAAAGGAGACUGCCAGUGAUAAACUGGAGGAAGGUGGGGAUGACGUCAAGUCAUCAUGGCCCUUACGACCAGGGCUACACACGUGCUACAAUGGCGCAUACAAAGAGAAGCGACCUCGCGAGAGCAAGCGGACCUCAUAAAGUGCGUCGUAGUCCGGAUUGGAGUCUGCAACUCGACUCCAUGAAGUCGGAAUCGCUAGUAAUCGUGGAUCAGAAUGCCACGGUGAAUACGUUCCCGGGCCUUGUACACACCGCCCGUCACACCAUGGGAGUGGGUUGCAAAAGAAGUAGGUAGCUUAACCUUCGGGAGGGCGCUUACCACUUUGUGAUUCAUGACUGGGGUGAAGUCGAACAAGGUA
Molecule: ribosomal RNA, 1498 nt
Filed under: metagenome
Description: bacterial SSU rRNA
Rfam family: Bacterial small subunit ribosomal RNA
Source: RNAcentral